RNAcentral lists this ribosomal RNA (302 nucleotides) under uncultured Smithella sp. RNAcentral describes it as "bacterial SSU rRNA". It matches the Rfam family "Bacterial small subunit ribosomal RNA", at positions 1077 to 1382 of the family's 1533-position model. The record is from RNAcentral. Lineage: Bacteria; Pseudomonadati; Thermodesulfobacteriota; Syntrophia; Syntrophales; Smithellaceae.
GGGUUAAGUCCGCAACGAGCGCAACCCUUAUCUUAAUUGCCAGCAUUCAGUUGGGCACUUUAAAGAGACUGCCGGUGUUAAACCGGAGGAAGGUGGGGAUGACGUCAAGUCCUCAUGGCCUUUAUGCUUAGGGCUACACACGUGCUACAAUGGGUGGUACAAAGAGAAGCCAACUCGCGAGAGCGCGCCAAUCUCAAAAAGCCAUCCUCAGUUCGGAUUGGAGUCUGCAACUCGACUCCAUGAAGUUGGAAUCGCUAGUAAUCGCGGAUCAGCAUGCCGCGGUGAAUACGUUCCCGGGCCUU